RNAcentral lists this unclassified non-coding RNA (211 nucleotides) under Neophaeosphaeria agaves. Its description in RNAcentral is "partial contains 5.8S ribosomal RNA, internal transcribed spacer 2, and large subunit ribosomal RNA". The record is from RNAcentral. Lineage: Eukaryota; Fungi; Ascomycota; Dothideomycetes; Pleosporales; Neophaeosphaeriaceae.
CGCACAUUGCGCCCCUUGGUAUUCCAUGGGGCAUGCCUGUUCGAGCAUCAUAUAUACCUUCAAGCUCUGCUUGGUGUUGGGCGCUGUCUUGCGACUCGCCUCAAAUUCAAAAAUCAUACGGCAGCGGCAUAUGGUGCAGCACAUGCGCCUGCCCCGUCCGCGAAAUCUUGUAUUUGACCUCGGAUCAGGUAGGGAUACCCGCUGAACUUAA